Long non-coding RNA from Brassica napus (rape), 769 nucleotides. RefSeq lists it as uncharacterized. The transcript is spliced from 3 exons. The record is from RefSeq and is a predicted model, not a curated record. NCBI's taxonomy places the organism in Eukaryota, Viridiplantae, Streptophyta, Magnoliopsida, Brassicales, Brassicaceae.
GGCUGAAGAAAGAAACAUAAAGCCCAUAGUAGUUUAGGCCCAAAACUGAUCGGUGGAGAGAAGAGGAGGCAUGGAUUCGCUGUUCACUCCUUUCUCUGCUCUCCUUUGCGCCAUUUCAGAGCUAGUCUCUCGUGCUGUUCUUAUGGUUUUUAUUUCCAUGAGAAGCAAUUUACAGCGUCUGAUAUCAAGAAAGGCAAAGACCCAAUCCAAAGUUGCUUUGGAUGUUGCAGCUUUCUCUCUUGGAUUUGUCACCUAUUGAAAGAUCGUGGAAUUGCAGCAUUAGACCGACAAGAACUUCUGCAAGGAGUGUCUUCAAUGUCUGGCAACUCUGGAAUUUCUCUAGCUGGAGAAGAGGGGAACUCAACUAUUGGCUCACAACAGUUAGUUUGAUUACUGCAUUCAGUGGAAACACAUUCUUCAAUCGAGUUUAUCUUUGAUGUCAUCUUUGCAUCGUUAUCAUGACAAUAUGAAGUUUGUGAUUCUUGGGACUCUUGGAACUCUUGUGACUCUUGGGACUCUUGGAACUCUUGUGUCUUCUCUUCAGGACCCUCGAGAAGAACUUUGGAACUGAAAGAGAAAAAAACUGGCAAGUCAACGUCUGUUAAAAUAAUUUUUCUUUGGUUAUAUGGUUGCCUUUUGAGAACUAGAAACGGUUUAAAGAGAGCUUUGUUUUGCUUGCAAAAUUAUGUGUAAUUAUAUAUGUAACUAACAAAUGAGACUUUUCAAGUUUGUUAUUGUCAAGUAAAUUAAAUAAACUAACAUAUUUCUU